RNAcentral lists this ribosomal RNA (391 nucleotides) under Sparus aurata (gilthead seabream). RNAcentral describes it as "partial 16S ribosomal RNA". It matches the Rfam family "Bacterial large subunit ribosomal RNA", at positions 1962 to 2502 of the family's 2925-position model. Lineage: Eukaryota; Metazoa; Chordata; Actinopteri; Spariformes; Sparidae. The record is from RNAcentral.
CAAUCACUUGUCUUUUAAAUGAAGACCUGUAUGAAUGGCAUCACGAGGGCUUAGCUGUCUCCCUCUCCCAGUCAAUGAAAUUGAUCUCCCCGUGCAGAAGCGGGGAUAAAGACAUAAGACGAGAAGACCCUAUGGAGCUUAAGGCGCCAGAACAGCUCACGUCAAACACCCCCGCAUAAAGGGAAUAAACCAAGUGGACCCUGCUCUAGUGUCUUUGGUUGGGGCGACCGCGGGGAAAAAUUAAACCCCCAUGUGGAACAGGAACACUAUAUUCCUUAAUCCAAGAGCUCCCGCUCUAAUAAACAGAACUUCUGACCAACAAGAUCCGGCAACGCCGAUCAACGGACCGAGUUACCCUAGGGAUAACAGCGCAAUCCCCUUAAAGAGCCCU